Molecule: ribosomal RNA, 497 nt
Filed under: uncultured bacterium
Lineage: Bacteria
Description: partial 16S ribosomal RNA
Rfam family: Bacterial small subunit ribosomal RNA
Source: RNAcentral
GACGAACGCUGGCGGCGUGCCUAAUACAUGCAAGUUGAGCGCUGAAGGUUGGUACUUGUACCAACUGGAUGAGCAGCGAACGGGUGAGUAACGCGUGGGGAAUCUGCCUUUGAGCGGGGGACAACAUUUGGAAACGAAUGCUAAUACCGCAUAAAAACUUUAAACACAAGUUUUAAGUUUGAAAGAUGCAAUUGCAUCACUCAAAGAUGAUCCCGCGUUGUAUUAGCUAGUUGGUGAGGUAAAGGCUCACCAAGGCGAUGAUACAUAGCCGACCUGAGAGGGUGAUCGGCCACAUUGGGACUGAGACACGGCCCAAACUCCUACGGGAGGCAGCAGCAGGGAAUCUUCGGCAAUAGACGAAAGUCUGACCGAGCAACGCCGCGUGAGUGAAGAAGGGUUUCGGAUCGUAAAACUCUGUUGGUAGAGAAGAACGUUGGUGAGAGUGGAAAGCUCAUCAAGUGACGGUAACUACCCAGAAAGGGACGGCUAACUACGUG